This 461-nucleotide ribosomal RNA is filed under the name uncultured bacterium. RNAcentral describes it as "SSU rRNA". It matches the Rfam family "Bacterial small subunit ribosomal RNA", at positions 26 to 518 of the family's 1533-position model. The record is from RNAcentral.
AGAAUCAACGCUGGCGGCGUGCCUAACACAUGCAAGUCGCACGAGAAAGGGUAGCAAUACCCUGAGUAAAGUGGCGCACGGGUGAGUAACACGUGACUAACCUACCCUUGAGUGGGGGAUAACUGAGGGAAACCUUAGCUAAUACCGCAUAAUACCCACGGGUCAAAGGAGCAAUUCGCUCGAGGAGGGGGUCGCGGCCGAUUAGUUAGUUGGCGGGGUAAUGGCCCACCAAGACGAUGAUCGGUAUCCGGCCUGAGAGGGCGCACGGACACACUGGAACUGAAACACGGUCCAGACUCCUACGGGAGGCAGCAGUGGGGAAUUUUGCGCAAUGGGGGAAACCCUGACGCAGCAACGCCGCGUGGAGGAUGAAGUCCUUCGGGACGUAAACUCCUUUCGAUCGGGACGAUUAUGACGGUACCGGAAGAAGAAGCCCCGGCUAACUUCGCGCCAGCAGCCGC